GUGCUCACUUCAGCAGCACAUAUACUAAAAUUGGCACAUUGCAGAGAAGAUUAGCAUGGCCCCUGAGCUAGGAUGACUGCAAAUUCAUGAAGUGUUCCCUUGAAAA
This is a small nuclear RNA of Cebus imitator (Panamanian white-faced capuchin), 106 nucleotides long. Lineage: Eukaryota; Metazoa; Chordata; Mammalia; Primates; Cebidae. The record is from Ensembl.